This 218-nucleotide ribosomal RNA is filed under the name Staphylococcus aureus. Its description in RNAcentral is "partial 23S ribosomal RNA". It matches the Rfam family "Bacterial large subunit ribosomal RNA", at positions 2538 to 2755 of the family's 2925-position model. Lineage: Bacteria; Bacillati; Bacillota; Bacilli; Caryophanales; Staphylococcaceae. The record is from RNAcentral.
CAUCGCAUCCUGGGGCUGUAGUCGGUCCCAAGGGUUGGGCUGUUCGCCCAUUAAAGCGGUACGCGAGCUGGGUUCAGAACGUCGUGAGACCGUUCGGUCCCUAUCCGUCGUGGGCGUAGGAAAUUUGAGAGGAGCUGUCCUUAGUACGAGAGGACCGGGAUGGACAUACCUCUGGUGUACCAGUUGUCGUGCCAACGGCAUAGCUGGGUAGCUAUGUG